AGUAUAAUUUACAAAUAUAUCAGCUUUCUAAAAUCUCUUGUAGACAAGAACGUAAAAUUUCCAAAAAGAUAUCUGCAUGAUACUCCCCGAAUAUUAGGCAAGGCCUUAGACGAAUUGAUUUUUCGCCACAAUCGCCAACUUGAAUACCUAGUAGUUUAUUUGUAACAAAUAAUUAUGAAAAUAUGAGACAUUAACAAAUUUCGAAGUUACCUUUAGAACGCAUUAGGCGCAGCAGUUUAUUUCUAAGGUCUUUAGUGGGCAUAUCGAACGCGAUGAUAAACCCUCUGCCUCGUACGGAAUUCAUAAGCUCCGGAAAUUCGUUUUGCAAAGUGUUCAAUUGACAAAGCAGUGCGAUAAUGCCAGUGCACCGAAGGUUCUACCAUAACAUCCACCUAUAUUUAUAAAUAUCUCAUCAGAUACAAGCAAUGAGGAUAUCAAGAUAACACUACUGUGUUAAGGUGUUCGACGAAGCUAAUAGUAAGAGUGUCAAUUGCAACUGCUGUGUAUAUUAAUGCUUACUGUAUUAAUACUUGUACGCAAAUAUUUGCAAGUCGAAUGAAGUCCUGAAACAAACUGGAAGAAGUACACCGGCAUCAAUUAUCUCGAAGCGUAAAUCCAUCGAGACAUAAGUAAUUUUCAAAACUGUUUGGAUCAAUUUUGAACAAGAAAUUUAAACAAUGGUACGAUAAUCAAUGUGAUCAAGGAGAUAUUAAAAGUUCGGAACGCUUCAAUAAUACCUGUAGCACAUGACAUUAUCGGAACACGUUACAGUAAAGAUAAAAUGAAGCUUACAUUGCUAGUACAUUGAAUGAGACACGCGUGUAGCACGAUCACUCAGAACGAGUUUGGUGAAGCUAAUGCGGUGUAGAAAUCUGGGCAAAGUGACGAAUUAUAUAUUGUAUUAUGUGAUUAUAAAACAAAGUAAAUUGAGGAUAAAAAAAAAACAGAUCAGUGCCAGGUCAUUUGAAUUAAAAAUACUGUACAAGCAUUCGUCCUGGCAAAAAUGUACAACCUGCUCUUGAGCGAUCUGCUUUUUUUCUUUCAGUUAAUCGACGAUCAUUGAGACGCAUCUUGAACUUAUGAAACAUACACAAAGCCACGAAUUCUUAAUGUCGGAGAAGAUGACAUGGUUUUCUUUUUCGAUGGAAACGCAUAUCUCUUCGACUUUCGCAGAGUUUCGAUUUCCAAAUGUUAUCUCACAUUUCACACAAAAAUUUUGUUGGUCUCCGACGAUUCAAGCAUCAGAUAAUUUGGUACAUACUUUCAUGCUUGUAUUUUGCAUUAAUAAAACACCAGAAGCGAGAAUUUCUUGCUUCCUUCCGUACGAGUAUGGGUAUGCUUAUGUAUGAAUAUAUAUAUAUUUAUUCGUUAGAUGCGGAUGAUAAAUAAUAUUGCCCUCUUGGAUUGAUUGAGAAUAUAUAGAAACUGAAUAUACUUGGACAUGUACAUACAAUGUAUAGUGCUAGCUUAGUAAUUUUCAUAAACGGUAUUUUACUAGGUAAAAUAUAAACAAUAUUCUUUA
Molecule: long non-coding RNA, 1522 nt
Organism: Ceratina calcarata
Lineage: Eukaryota; Metazoa; Arthropoda; Insecta; Hymenoptera; Apidae
Exons: 3
Source: RefSeq, a predicted model, not a curated record